This 89-nucleotide ribosomal RNA is filed under the name Syntrophaceae bacterium. Its description in RNAcentral is "Bacterial small subunit ribosomal RNA". It matches the Rfam family "Bacterial small subunit ribosomal RNA", at positions 1 to 88 of the family's 1533-position model. Lineage: Bacteria; Pseudomonadati; Thermodesulfobacteriota; Syntrophia; Syntrophales; Syntrophaceae. The record is from Rfam by way of RNAcentral.
AAAUUGGAGAGUUUGAUCCUGGCUCAGAACGAACGCUGGCGGCGUGCCUAACACAUGCAAGUCGCACGAGAAAUCCUGGGCAACCGGGA